Molecule: ribosomal RNA, 253 nt
Filed under: uncultured bacterium
Lineage: Bacteria
Description: partial 16S ribosomal RNA
Rfam family: Bacterial small subunit ribosomal RNA
Source: RNAcentral
UACGUAGGGGGCAAGCGUUGUCCGGAAUUAUUGGGCGUAAAGAGCUCGUAGGCGGUUCGUCGCGUCGGCUGUGAAAUCCCGAGGCUCAACCUCGGGUCUGCAGUCGAUACGGGCGGACUGGAGUUCGGCAGGGGAGACUGGAAUUCCUGGUGUAGCGGUGAAAUGCGCAGAUAUCAGGAGGAACACCGGUGGCGAAGGCGGGUCUCUGGGCCGAUACUGACGCUCAUGCACGAAAGCGUGGGGAGCAAACAGG